AUUUAAAGAGGUACGUGAGCUGGGUUUAAAACGUCGUGAGACAGUUUGGUCCCUAUCUGCCGUGGGCGUUGGAUACUUGACGGAGCCUGCUCCUAGUACGAGAGGACCGGAGUGGACGUACCACUGGUGUAUCGGUUGUCAUGCCAAUGGCAUUGCCGAGUAGCUACGUACGGAAGAGAUAACCGCUGAAGGCAUCUAAGCGGGAAACUCGUCUGAAGAUUAGGUAUCCCGGGGGCUUGACCCCCCUGUAGGGUCGUCCGAGACCAGGACGUUGAUAGGCUGGGUGUGGAAGUGCAGUAAUGCAUGUAGCUAACCAGUACUAAUUGCCCGUGUGGCUUGAUCCUAUAAC
Molecule: ribosomal RNA, 349 nt
Filed under: Alcaligenes sp. HPC1271
Lineage: Bacteria; Pseudomonadati; Pseudomonadota; Betaproteobacteria; Burkholderiales; Alcaligenaceae
Description: bacterial LSU rRNA
Rfam family: Bacterial large subunit ribosomal RNA
Source: RNAcentral